RNAcentral lists this ribosomal RNA (256 nucleotides) under uncultured Leptotrichia sp. RNAcentral's name for it is "partial 16S ribosomal RNA". It matches the Rfam family "Bacterial small subunit ribosomal RNA", at positions 99 to 354 of the family's 1533-position model. The record is from RNAcentral. Lineage: Bacteria; Fusobacteriati; Fusobacteriota; Fusobacteriia; Fusobacteriales; Leptotrichiaceae.
CGGACGGGUGAGUAACGCGUAAGAACUUAGCCCUCUAGACUGGGAUAACANAGGGAAACUUCUGAUAAUACUGGAUAAGUUAGUAUAUCGCAUGAUAUGCAAAUGAAAGCUACGGCACUAAAGGAGAGCUUUGCGUCCUAUUAGCUAGUUGGUAAGGUAAGAGCUUACCAAGGCGAUGAUAGGUAGCCGGCCUGAGAGGGUGGACGGCCACAAGGGGACUGAGAUACGGCCCUUACUCCUACGGGAGGCAGCAGAG